Molecule: ribosomal RNA, 505 nt
Filed under: uncultured bacterium
Lineage: Bacteria
Description: partial 16S ribosomal RNA
Rfam family: Bacterial small subunit ribosomal RNA
Source: RNAcentral
GACGAACGCUGGCGGCGUGCCUAAUACAUGCAAGUAGAACGCACAGUUUAUACCGUAGCUUGCUACACCAUAGACUGUGAGUUGCGAACGGGUGAGUAACGCGUAGGUAACCUGCCUGGUAGCGGGGGAUAACUAUUGGAAACGAUAGCUAAUACCGCAUAAUAUUAAUUAUUGCAUGAUAAUUGAUUGAAAGAUGCAACUGCAUCACUACCAGAUGGACCUGCGUUGUAUUAGCUAGUAGGUGAGGUAACGGCUCACCUAGGCGACGAUACAUAGCCGACCUGAUAGGGUGAUCGGCCACCCUGGGACUGUGACACGGCCCAGACUCCUACGGGAAGCAGCCGUAGGGAAUCUUCGGCAAUGGACGAAAGUCUGACCGAGCAACGCCGCGUGAGUGAAGAAGGGUUUCGGAUCGGAAAGCUCUGUUGUCAGAGAAGAACGGGUGUGAGAGUGGAAAGUUCACACUGUGACGGUAUCUUACCAGAAAGGGACGGCUAACUACGUG